This 760-nucleotide ribosomal RNA is filed under the name uncultured archaeon. RNAcentral's name for it is "bacterial SSU rRNA". It matches the Rfam family "Archaeal small subunit ribosomal RNA", at positions 102 to 859 of the family's 1478-position model. The record is from RNAcentral.
GGAUAAUCUGCCCACAGGAUGGGGAUAAUCCUGGGAAACUGGGAAUAAUACCCAAUAGAUCAUUGGCACUGGAAUGUCCUUUGAUCCAAAUGCUUUUCUUACGCCUGUGGAUGAGUCUGCGUCCGAUUAGGCUGUUGUUGGGGUAACGGCCCAACAAACCUAUGAUCGGUACGGGUCGUGAGAGCGAUCGCCCGGAGAUUGGAUCUGAGAUAUGAUCCUAGGCCCUACGGGGUGCAGCAGGCGCGAAAACUUUACAAUGUGGGAAACCAUGAUAAGGGAAUUCCCAGUGUUCCUACAUAGUAGGAACUGUUUAGGUGCGUAAAAAACACCUAAUAGAAAGGGCCGGGUAAGACCGGUGCCAGCCGCCGCGGUAACACCGGCGGCUCGAGUGGUAACCGCUAUUAUUGGGUCUAAAGGGUCUGUAGCCGGCCGACUAAGUCUCUUGGGAAAUCUGGCAUCUCAAGUGUCAGGCUGCCAGGGGAUACUGGUCGGCUUGGGACCGGGAGAGGUGAGAGGUACCUCGGGGGUAGGGGUGAAAUCUUGUAAUCCUCGAGGGACCACCAGUGGCGAAGGCGUCUCACCAGAACGGAUCCGACGGCAAGGGACGAAAGCUAGGGGCACGAACCGGAUUAGAUACCCGGGUAGUCCUAGCCGUAAACGAUACUCGCUAGGUGUCGGCCACGGUGCGACCGUGGUCGGUGCCGUAGGGAAGCCGUGAAGCGAGCCACCUGGGAAGUACGGCCGCAAGGCUGAAACUUAA